CAAUAGCGUAUAUUAAAGUUGUUGCAGUUAAAAAGCUCGUAGUUGGAUUUCGGGGCAGCCUGGCUGGUCCGCCGCAAGGCGAGUACUGGUCAGCCGCCCUUCCUCUCGAAAGCCCCGACUGCUCUUUAUUGCAGUGGUCGGGUAGUUCGGGACGUUUACUUUGAAAAAAUUAGAGUGUUCAAGGCAGGCCUACGCCUGAAUACAUUAGCAUGGAAUAAUGGAAGAGGACCUCGGUCCUAUUUUGUUGGUUUCCAGGACCGAAGUAAUGAUUAAGGGGGACAGUUGGGGGCAUUCGUAUUUAAUUGUCAGAGGUGAAAUUCUCGGAUUUAUGAAAGACGAACAACUGCGAAAGCAUUUGCCAAGGAUGUUUUCAUUAA
Molecule: ribosomal RNA, 377 nt
Filed under: uncultured eukaryote
Lineage: Eukaryota
Description: partial 18S ribosomal RNA
Rfam family: Eukaryotic small subunit ribosomal RNA
Source: RNAcentral